Molecule: ribosomal RNA, 531 nt
Filed under: uncultured bacterium
Lineage: Bacteria
Description: bacterial SSU rRNA
Rfam family: Bacterial small subunit ribosomal RNA
Source: RNAcentral
UGGGGAAUAUUGCACAAUGGACGGAAGUCUGAUGCAGCAACGCCGCGUGCGGGAUGACGGCCUUCGGGUUGUAAACCGCUUUCAUCCAUGACGAAGCUUUUGUGACGGUAGUGGGUAAAGAAGCACCGGCUAACUACGUGCCAGCAGCCGCGGUGAUACGUAGGGUGCGAGCGUUGUCCGGAUUUAUUGGGCGUAAAGAGCUUGUAGGCGGUUUGUCGCGUCGGGAGUGAAAACUCGGAGCUUAACUUUGAGCUUGCUUUCGAUACGGGCUGACUUGAGGGAGGUAGGGGAGAAUGGAAUUCCUGGUGGAGCGGUGGAAUGCGCAGAUAUCAGGAGGAACACCGGUGGCGAAGGCGGUUCUCUGGACCUUUCCUGACGCUGAGAAGCGAAAGCGUGGGGAGCGAACAGGCUUAGAUACCCUGGUAGUCCACGCCGUAAACGGUGGGUACUAGGUGUGGGGGACAUUCCACGUUCUCCGUGCCGUAGCUAACGCAUUAAGUACCCCGCCUGGGGAGUACGGCCGCAAGGCUA